RNAcentral lists this long non-coding RNA (2897 nucleotides) under Olea europaea subsp. europaea. Lineage: Eukaryota; Viridiplantae; Streptophyta; Magnoliopsida; Lamiales; Oleaceae. The record is from RNAcentral.
UUUUGUAUAGAUCUGAUAAGGCUGGAAAACUGCUUGCUGAAGUAUUGUUAAAGGGGUUGCAAGGACAUAGGUACGCCAGUGGAAAAGAGGAAAUUGUGAUUAUUCUUAUUUAAUUACAUUCGAAGUCAGAGUUUACUGUUCCUCCGAUUUUCAUUUCUGGUUGUUCAAUCAAAAUUUGCAGGCCUGUGACACUCGUAGGUUUCUCACUUGGUGCAAGAGUUAUUUUCAGCUGCUUCAGAUUUUGCCUGAAAGUGAAAAUAGUGGUAACACAUUAAGCUGACCCACUAAUCUAUGGCACAGUUUAUUUGCUCCAUCCUAAAAUUAAAGACUAGAAAAAGUUAUAAAGAAAGGUGAAACAUAUUCAUCGAUUUAUAUUUUUUUAAUGUGCCACAUGCUCAUUUACAAUACGCCAAAUUAGACAAGAUGGUAGAUACACUUAAGAGUGUAUCUAUGUUUGGCAUGGUAUGUGUCCCUUAUUUGAUCUAUCAAUAGUCUAUCAUUUAUGCUUAAAACAAGCAUCUAUUGUUUCAUUCUUUGAGCAAUGCUGCUUGUACAGGCCACACACAAUACAGAGGGGUGGCUAAUUUCAUUUUUUUUAAAAUAAUCCCCCACCCAACAUGUGAGGGGCCUAUACAGCAGGCAAUUUCCUCCUCAGAAAUGGUUCACAUUCCAUCUAACUGAUGCGGGUAAAGGUGUUUCCAAUUUUCCACUCAAAUCACUAACAUCCCAUCUAAGUACAAAGACCUUAAUGUAAAGGCUUUAGUGCCAAUGUCAGCCAUCUAACACUUUGAACAAAAGAAUGAGGAAAUUGCCUAUUGUUCACAGGGGACAAAUCUCUCACAUGCUGGGUGGGGGAUUAUUUAAAAAAAAAAAAAAAAUUAUCCACCCCCCUGUUUUCACAGGGCCUGUACAGGUAGCACUACUCUUCUGAGGAUUGGAUAACUAGAACCUGCCGGCAUGGACUAACACACUUAAGAAUUAUUAGAGAAGUACUGUACCAGUACUGUGCAGUUCCUUCAACAAGCUACCAUAAACAUAGAACGGGUGAUGGCUCGAAGUUUUUUGAUAGAAUGACAUGCUAUGAUUGAUCUAUUUCUGCCGUUUAAUUACAAUUUAGUACAUGACAUGGGAUUUUACCUUAUUACCUAAUUGCUAGCUUUGUACUUAAAUAUCUCAUAGUUUUGUCUCUCAAUGUUAAAACUUCAAACCUGAGUAUAAGCUAAACAAAAAAGUACCUCCAGAUUUAAGAAUCCAAACAAAUGAUUCUGGAAAUUUCUACAGGAUGGAUAUCAAUUCUAUCUGCAUUGCAAAUUUAACUUCUUUUCAUAUAUGAUCCUGGGUCCUAUUAUUCUGAUGACUUAUAAUAAACAACAUUCCUUCCAAUCCCACCCCCCAGUUGAAGGUUUCAAAUAGUAAAUCAUGCCCUUUUAGACAACUUAGAUUUUAGAUAAAAUGUUGAUUCAGUAUGGCCUUAGAAUAGGCACAUGUCAUAGUAUUAAGAUUUACGGACUCCCAUUGCUAAUAGUUAAUUAAUAAAAUCAUGUGCUAAGCCUUUGAGAAAAAUAAACGUUGCCCGGAUGUCGUCGUCCUUCAAACAACUUGACUUUUUAGGUGGGAACUCGACCUCCAAAAGAAAAUCUCUUUUAAGUUCUGUAUUAUAAAAUACUGAUUCACUCCCCUAUUUUUUGUCAGCUGGACUUGUGGAAAGAGUUGUUCUACUUGGAGCACCCAUUGCAAUUAAAGAAAUGAACUGGGAAGCUACUCGGCAGGGAUUGUUGCUUUACCUUCUGCAUUCAUAUUCACAAAUAUUGAUAUUGUAUCAAUAAUAGGCACAUAUGCAUCAGUUACUGUUAUUGCAUAUGUUUAACAUUCUCUAUUAUGCAGGUGGUGGCUGGAAGGUUUGUGAAUGCAUAUUCUACCAACGAUUGGAUACUUGGAAUUGCGUUUCGUGCCAAGUAUGCAAGUCUUAAAUCUACUGUGAAAAUAUUAGGAUUGUGAAAUUGAUAGGUAGAUCACAUCUUGCUUUUGAAGUUGAGAUUUGUGCCUAACUGUGUCAAUAGAAGUAUCAAAACAAAAGAAGAAGUGAAUUUUUUUUGUCCAUUCUUUUGCUUAUUGAUUUUCGAUGUUGCCCUUUGCCUAUAACAGUCUUCUGACACUAGGAUUGGCAGGAAUUCAACCAGUGGAAGUGCCUGGAAUUGAAAAUGUAAAUAUUAUUCGUAAUGCUGGUCAACAUAGCGUAACAUAUGUUUGGGAUUUCAACCUUUAUCUCUCCAUUGUUUUUGACAGGUUAACGUAACUAGCAUAAUUGAUGGUCACUCUUUUAUCUUUGGAAUGCCCAGGAAAUCCUAGAACAGCUCGAACCGAUUUUCAGUCCUCCCCCUGUCAAAACAUAGUUUGUACUGAAAUUCUGGCAUAGAGUGCAAUUGCAUCAGAGGCUUUGUUCUUGUCGGAAAUGGAGGUUUGGAUCUAAUUUUAAGUGUUACCGUAGUCGGCUUGUGUAUUCUUGAACCGAGGAUAUUUCAUUAGUUACUGCUUGGUACUUCUAUAAAUUUCAUUUUAUCCUCAUUCUUUGCGCAAUAUGAAUCAUAAGAAUUGAACAAAUGAAACAGGUAAACAGGUGGUAAUAUUGAAGAUCUGUACUUGCUCGUGUUACUGAGGAGAUGAAGAGUGGCUAUAAAAGUGCAAAACAAAUGCUGGAGUUCCCAUACGAGAAAUUAAGUAGAUGCCAUAUUUUUGGAACUGAUACAAAUCAACAUUGCCAAGAAUGUAGAAUGUAAAAUGAAUAAUGUUAAUUUACAUAAACAUAAAAUGUCACAACAUGUAGAACUUUUAGCUUCAAUGAUACUAUAGUAUACUUUUCUACACUAACAUGAAAGUAUUUUGCACAUUGUUCUGAG